RNAcentral lists this ribosomal RNA (566 nucleotides) under uncultured bacterium. RNAcentral's name for it is "partial 16S ribosomal RNA". It matches the Rfam family "Bacterial small subunit ribosomal RNA", at positions 355 to 912 of the family's 1533-position model. The record is from RNAcentral.
UGGGGAAUUUUGGACAAUGGGGGAAACCCUGAUCCAGCCAUCCCGCGUGUGCGAUGAAGGCCUUCGGGUUGUAAAGCACUUUUGGCAGGAAAGAAACGUCGCGGGUUAAUACCCCGCGGAACUGACGGUACCUGCAGAAUAAGCACCGGCUAACUACGUGCCAGCAGCCGCGGUAAUACGUAGGGUGCAAGCGUUAAUCGGAAUUACUGGGCGUAAAGCGUGCGCAGGCGGUUCGGAAAGAAAGAUGUGAAAUCCCAGAGCUUAACUUUGGAACUGCAUUUUUAACUACCGGGCUAGAGUGUGUCAGAGGGAGGUGGAAUUCCGCGUGUAGCAGUGAAAUGCGUAGAUAUGCGGAGGAACACCGAUGGCGAAGGCAGCCUCCUGGGAUAACACUGACGCUCAUGCACGAAAGCGUGGGGAGCAAACAGGAUUAGAUACCCUGGUAGUCCACGCCCUAAAACGAUGUCAACUAGCUGUUGGGGUCUUCGGACCUUGGUAGCGCAGCUAACGCGUGAAGUUGACCGCCUGGGGAGUACGGUCGCAAGAUUAAAAACUUAAAUGAAUUG